UCAGCCGAAAAAAUGAUGCACUAGAUGUCAGCCAACUUCAGAGUCUUAGUUGACUGAUUGUCUCUUGUCUCAGUGUAAGGAUUUUAUUUAUUUAAAAUAGUUCAGAUUAAUGAUUUUCUACUUGGAAAAAAAGAAUUACACCUGCUUGCAUUGAUUAUUGUUUUCUAAUUCUAUUAUUCUAUAUAACUUUGAUAAUCAUAAAAUAAAAAUUUAUAUAAAAGAUAAGCGGUAAAAAACAUAACCUAAAUCUACCUAUAAUUUGGUGUUGAAAUAAAUAAAAAGUGUGUAAAAAUAUUACUAAUGGAAGUGUCAAAUUCAAAAAUGCUAGUAAAAAACAUCGAAGUGACAAAUGUUUCUAAACAUACAUGUCAUUUUGAAUGGAGGAUCAACGGCAUAAGUUCAUAUUUAGAGAAUUUUCAUAAUGAAAUUGGUGCUGAUAGACAGAGGAUACUUUAUUCGCCUACAUUCACAACUGGUUCUGCAGUCGGCGAUAAAUGGUGUCUUAAAAUGACAGUAAACGACGAACGAUUCACUGAUAGAAUUGUAAUAAUUGAGCUAGAUCCCGUUGGUAUAUUUAAUCUUGGAGUGAAACUACAAUUUACAUCAUUUAUUUUAAAUAAUGAAUACCAGGAAGAGGAACGUAGUGAUUGCAAUCAAAUUUUUAACCAAAGCGAUUAUUUCGAUUUCGCAAUUUCCAUAUAUACUAACGAACUCGUGCAAAAUAAAAACAAACUUAUGUUCAACGACACGCUGACUAUUGCUGCUGAACUGACGUUGUUUGACAUUACUUCAUCAUUUCUUGAUAAUGCUCUGUCAUUUGGAUCAAAACGCCAACGAAUAACUGAUGACUACAAAGAUUUUUUUAAGAAAGAGCAAGAUACUGAUGUUGUUAUCAAAGUAGAUGGCAAAAUAUUCAAGGCUCACAGGGCAAUUUUGAUAGCACGCUGUCCUGAUUUAUUCAAGCUGUUCCCAACUCUGAAGGAUGUAAGCGAAAUAGAAAUUGGAAUUACCAUACUUUACAUGGACUCUGGUACUUUUGACAUCAUCCUUCAGUUCAUUUAUACUGAUGAAGUAAACGACUUGGAUGAUAAUGCUGAGAAUUUAUUGAAAGCUGCUAGCAAACUUGAAUUAAAAAAACUUAGACAAAUGUGUCUGCAAUCGCUUCUCAAAACUCUAACUUGCCAAUCCGCUCUAAGAUUACUUAAAUUUGCUCAUAAUUACAAUCUUUCGGAAAUAUUGGACUUCAUUUCUAAUUAUAUUGUAUCCAACGCUGAUAAAGUUACUGAUACUCCAGAGUAUCAGACUUUUAUAAAGUCAAACCCAUCAAUUGUUAAUAUUCUCUUACAGAAAUGUGUAAGUUUGAAAGUCGAUGGUACUUGGAUGUUCAGCGGUUAAAAAUGAUACAGUCAGUUAAACGAAUUCAUUGUAACAGAUCUCAAUUACAUUUCUCCUAGAGUAAUAUUAACUACAGUAAAAUAUUUCUUAUUCAUCCAACACUGAAAAAUAAGAAAGUUCAAAUUCCUCAUGUGGUUUCAACGCUGGAUUUUCUAUGAGAUGAAGCGAGAUAUUUUACAAUGAAUCAGUAUUUUUG
RNAcentral lists this unclassified non-coding RNA (1591 nucleotides) under Cotesia glomerata. RNAcentral describes it as "speckle-type POZ protein B-like, transcript variant X4". The record is from RNAcentral. Lineage: Eukaryota; Metazoa; Arthropoda; Insecta; Hymenoptera; Braconidae.